RNAcentral lists this ribosomal RNA (460 nucleotides) under uncultured bacterium. Its description in RNAcentral is "partial 16S ribosomal RNA". It matches the Rfam family "Bacterial small subunit ribosomal RNA", at positions 338 to 795 of the family's 1533-position model. The record is from RNAcentral.
CCUACGGGAGGCAGCAGUGAGGAAUAUUGCUCAAUGGGCGCGAGCCUGACCCAGCCACGUAGCGUGAAGGAUGACUGCCCUCUGGGUUGUAAACUUUUUUUAUAAAGGAAUAAAGUGAGGCACGUGUGCCUUUUUGUAUGUACUUUAUGAGUAAGGAUCGGCUAACUCCGUUCCAGCAGCCGCGGUAAUACGGAGGAUCCGAGCGUUAUCCGGAUUUAUUGGGUUUAAAGGGAGCGUAGAUGGGUUGUUAAGUCAGGUGUGAAAGUUUGCGGCUCAACCGUAAAAUUGCAAUUGAUACUGGCAGCCUUGAGUACAGUUGAGGUAGGCGGAAUUCGUGGUGUAGCGGUGAAAUGCGUAGAUAUCACGAAGAACACCGAUUGCGAAGGCAGCUUACUAAACUGCCACUGACAUUGAUGCUCGAAAGUGUGGGUAUCAAACAGGAUUAGAUACCCUGGUAGUC